This is a non-coding RNA of Xyrichtys novacula (pearly razorfish), 907 nucleotides long. Lineage: Eukaryota; Metazoa; Chordata; Actinopteri; Labriformes; Labridae. The record is from the annotation of a GenBank genome assembly.
AGUAAGAACCAGCAGGAGCAUCCAAAUAAGGGUUUGUUUUAAGAUCUCUCUUUUCAUUCGAACACUGCAUGCAGCCAGCGAGGCAUUUUUUCUGUAUCCUAAAAAAUGAUUUGCAUGUAAAGUACAGAGUACAGUUGUACUCGUCUAAGAAUAGUGGUUGCACAUUAGGUGAUCUCUUUCAAAGUUACAGCACUGUCGAAACAGCAUGCAACAUGUGAAGUGGGUUUGAAAAGGCUGCUACUCAGAUUUAUUUUUAAAAACAGUUGGAUUCAUUUCUCCAAAAAAAAAAAGGCUCAAAGUGAAAUGUUCUGCCAUAUUCCUUUCUAGUCUGACAGAUAAUAAAGUGUUUAAUGAAACCAUUUCAUGCUACAUCUCGGUUUAUAGCUUGUAUCAGAUCUGCAGAUAUUCUUUGUAAAGGUAAUCUUUUCCACAAAUAAUCUGCAAUUUUUUAUCAUCAAAAAAGGAAAUAGCAUAUCAAUUUAACAUAGAUGAGCAUAUUUUCAGAUCCUCUCAAACUUUUUGUACAAAUUAAAUGAACUGCUAACUUCCACCUUGAACAGAAAGCAUCUCCUCUGUCCCUGCUUAAAAAAUGCACAGUGGAUUCAUACCAUCCAUGCAUUAGCGCUUCAUUUAGUCCCAAUUCCAUCUGUUAAAUCCUUACACACUUGAUCUUCUCCCUCUAGCGCGGGGUUCUCAUACAGUUCCAACUUUUCAUGGCAGGGAAUGAAAAAGAGAGACCCGGACAGACAAGAUGAAUCGAAACCCAGCCAGUCAUUUCAGCUCCAGUUUGAAUGUGACAGUUGUUCUUUGUAUUUGCGUUGGACGGUCUACAGUGGAAACGAGAGAUGCCCUGCAAAUGUGAGCUAUUCUGCUGCCAGGAUGACGGUUGUUCUACUGUAACUGAGCA